This 253-nucleotide ribosomal RNA is filed under the name uncultured bacterium. RNAcentral's name for it is "partial 16S ribosomal RNA". It matches the Rfam family "Bacterial small subunit ribosomal RNA", at positions 524 to 776 of the family's 1533-position model. The record is from RNAcentral.
UACGAGUGGAGCGAGCGUUGUUCGGAAUCACUGGGCGUAAAGCGUGCGCAGGCGGUCAUGCAAGUCAGGAGUGAAAUCCCAGGGCUCAACCUUGGAAUUGCUCUUGAAACUGCAUGACUAGAAUCCCGGAGAGGUUGGCGGAAUUCUCAGUGUAGAGGUGAAAUUCGCAGAUAUUGAGAGGAACACCAGUGGCGUAAGCGGCCAACUGGACGGGUAUUGACGCUCAGGCACGAAAGCGUGGGGAUCAAACAGG